Molecule: ribosomal RNA, 433 nt
Filed under: uncultured bacterium
Lineage: Bacteria
Description: partial 16S ribosomal RNA
Rfam family: Bacterial small subunit ribosomal RNA
Source: RNAcentral
GAUGAACGCUGGCGGUAUGCUUAACACAUGCAAGUCGAACGGACUCUUCGGAGUUGGUGGCGGACGGGUGAGUAACGCGGGAGAAUGUGGCGUUGGGUUCGGGACAACCACUGGAAACGGAGGCUAAUACCGGAGGUGCCGAGAGGUAAAAGAGAAAUUGCCUGCAGAUGAGCUCGCGUCUGAUUAGCUAGUUGGUGAGGUAAAGGCUCACCAAGCCAGCGAUCAGUAGCUCGUCUGAGGGGAUGACCAGCCACACUGAGACUGAGACACGGCCCAGACUACUACGAGAGGCAGCAGUGGGGAAGUUUCAGCAAGGGGCGUAAGGCUGAGGGAGCCAGACCGCGUGAGUGAAGAAUGCUCUUGGGUUGUAAUCAUCUUUUCUUAGGGACGAACAAUGUGGCUGCACCAAGGGAAACAGCCGCCUCUAACUGUG